RNAcentral lists this signal recognition particle RNA (92 nucleotides) under Erysipelotrichaceae bacterium. Its description in RNAcentral is "signal recognition particle sRNA small type". It matches the Rfam family "Bacterial small signal recognition particle RNA". Rfam says of the family: The signal recognition particle (SRP) is a universally conserved ribonucleoprotein involved in the co-translational targeting of proteins to membranes. Archaeal SRP consists of a 7S RNA and homologues of the eukaryotic SRP19 and SRP54 proteins. Lineage: Bacteria; Bacillati; Bacillota; Erysipelotrichia; Erysipelotrichales; Erysipelotrichaceae. The record is from RNAcentral.
AAUAAGCUGCUACAAUGCAAUCCUUUGAACCAGGUCAGGGUCGGAAGACAGCAGCCUUAAUAGGCUCUUGCAUGUGUGGCAGCCUUUUUAUA